UGAAUCCAUUAGCAACUCCUUCCGUUGCCAAAAGAAACAGACUUGCACUUGUAGAUUGCUUUCAUUCUGCGCUAUCAAGCCGCUGCAUGUGCUGCUUCCACAAAGCUGACAGUCAUCUAUCAUUUCUAAAUGGGUUUAGAGCUUGUCAUGUACAAUAACUGGAUGGGGUUCAAGAUUUAGUCACUGAACACGAACAGAAAGUUAUGGAAACAGCUUUACAUGAAAAUGCAGGUCAGAAUCAACUCACUGAAUUUUCUCGAACAGAGAUGGCAAACAUGGCUAUACACACUCAUGCUCUUUACAGAAAGUGGACAUAAACUAAUUGAUCACAAAUGUUUUUCUCCGAGAGUUUGGACAUGGUCUCAGAACUCUCUUCAACCGAGGACAUUAGGUAGACAUUAAAUGGAGCACUUUGGUGAAACUU
This is a long non-coding RNA of Sapajus apella (tufted capuchin), 424 nucleotides long. RefSeq lists it as uncharacterized. The transcript has 2 exons. The record is from RefSeq and is a predicted model, not a curated record. Lineage: Eukaryota; Metazoa; Chordata; Mammalia; Primates; Cebidae.